RNAcentral lists this ribosomal RNA (462 nucleotides) under Lybia leptochelis. RNAcentral describes it as "partial 16S ribosomal RNA". The stretch from base 323 to 462 matches the Rfam family "Bacterial large subunit ribosomal RNA", at positions 2473 to 2613 of the family's 2925-position model. The record is from RNAcentral. Lineage: Eukaryota; Metazoa; Arthropoda; Malacostraca; Decapoda; Xanthidae.
CAAAGGUAGCAUAAUCAUUAGAGGCUUAAUUGGAAUCUAGAAUGAAAGGUUGGACAAAGAGAAAAGCUGUCUCUAUAAUAACCAUUGAAAUUUACUUUUAAGUGAAAAGGCUUAAAUAAAUCAGAGGGACGAUAAGACCCUAUAAAGCUUUGAUACGUUGAUUAAAGCUGGUUGAUUUAGAUUAUAAAAAUUAAAUGUAGUCGUCUUAUUUUGUUGGGGUGAUGAGAAUAUAAUUUAGAAUAACUGUUUGAAGAUAAUACUAAAUAUAAUAGAAUUUAAAAUAUGAUCCUUUCUAAAGAUUAAAAGAUUAAGUUACUUUAGGGAUAACAGCGUUAUUUUUUUUGAGAGUUCAUAUCGAAAAAGAAGAUUGCGACCUCGAUGUUGAAUUAAAUUGUCUAUAUAAUGCAGCCGUUAUAAGAGAAGGUCUGUUCGACCUUUAAAUUUUUACAUGAUUUGAGUUCA